RNAcentral lists this long non-coding RNA (221 nucleotides) under Gallus gallus (chicken). The record is from RNAcentral. Lineage: Eukaryota; Metazoa; Chordata; Aves; Galliformes; Phasianidae.
GAGGGUCUGCAGGGCUGUGUGUUUCCUUAGCGGCCACAUGCACAUCAGGGACACGUACUUGCUGUCUGCGCUUGGAGCCGGAGCUCUUUGAUGACACGCGCAGGGAAUCCAGCGCAGGCCGCGCGCCGGGGACAGCGUUCUGCCGCAGCACGGGGACGGGUCCUCCCCUCGAGGCGUCGCUCCCAUCCCUUUGUCUCCCGGCAGGCGGCGGCGCCCUCGCC